This 494-nucleotide ribosomal RNA is filed under the name uncultured bacterium. RNAcentral's name for it is "partial 16S ribosomal RNA". It matches the Rfam family "Bacterial small subunit ribosomal RNA", at positions 28 to 507 of the family's 1533-position model. The record is from RNAcentral.
GACGAACGCUGGCGGCGUGCUUAACACAUGCAAGUCGAACGGUGAAGCGCCUUCCUUUUUGGUGGGUGUGGAUGAGUGGCGAACGGGUGAGUAACACGUGAGUAACCUGCCCCCUUCUUCUGGAUAACCGCAUGAAAGUGUGGCUAAUACGGGAUAUUCUGGGUCUGUCGCAUGAUGGGUCUGGGAAAGAUAUUGUUUCGGUGGGGGAUGGGCUCGCGGCCUAUCAGCUUGUUGGUGGGGUGAUGGCCUACCAAGGCGGUGACGGGUAGCCGGCCUGAGAGGGUGGGCGAUCACACUGGGGAUGAAGCGCGGCCCAGACUCCUGCGGGAGGCAGCAGUGGGGAAUAUUGCACGAUGGGCGCAAGCCUGAUGCAGCGACGCCGCGUGAGUGAUGGAGGCCUUCGGGUUGUGAACUUCUUUCGCCAGUGAAGCAGGCCUGCCUCGUUUGUGGGUGGGUUGACGGUAGCUGGAUAAGAAGCGCCGGCUAACUACGUG